CCUACGGGCGGCUGCAGUGGGGAAUAUUGGGCAAUGGGCGCAAGCCUGACCCAGCAACGCCGCGUGAAGGAAGAAGGCCCUCGGGUUGUAAACUUCUUUUAUUAGGGACGAAAUAAAUGACGGUACCGAAUGAAUAAGCCACGGCUAACUACGUGCCAGCAGCCGCGGUAAUACGUAGGUGGCAAGCGUGAUCCGGAUUUACUGGGUGUAAAGGGCGUGUAGGCGGGAGUGCAAGUCCGACGUGAAAUGCCCGGGCACAACCCUGGAACUGCGUUUGAAACUGUUCUUCUUGAGUGAUGGAGAGGCAGGCGGAAUUCCGAGUGUAGCGGUGAAAGGCGUAGAUAUACGGAGGAACACCAGUGGCGAAGGCGGCCUGCUGGACAUUAACUGACGCUGAGGCGCGAAAGCGUGGGGAGCAAACAGGAUUAGAUACCCUGGUAGUC
Molecule: ribosomal RNA, 443 nt
Filed under: uncultured bacterium
Lineage: Bacteria
Description: partial 16S ribosomal RNA
Rfam family: Bacterial small subunit ribosomal RNA
Source: RNAcentral